RNAcentral lists this long non-coding RNA (427 nucleotides) under Bos taurus (domestic cattle). RNAcentral's name for it is "long non-coding RNA NONBTAT016985". Lineage: Eukaryota; Metazoa; Chordata; Mammalia; Artiodactyla; Bovidae. The record is from RNAcentral.
GAUAAUUUAGUAUGAACCUUUGGGAAUCAAAUAAUAAUUAAAAUAGCCGUUGCAAAUUAAUAAAGUGAUAUUGUAGAUAAAAAUAAUGUUCUGUUUCUGAAUUUGAGGAAUGAAUUGAUUACUUAAGCAAUCAUGUAUCAAUAAAUAUUUAACACUGUGAAAAUAAUGGUAACAAGAUGGACAUGAUCCCUGAAUUCAUAGAUCUUAUGACCAAGUUGGAAAAACAGAUUAAAGAUAAAAAUUGACAAUAUAAAUUAUGACAGUGCUAUGAAAAAAGAAUCUUAUGGAGAGUAUCAGUACUAAAGGGACAAACUUACUUUAGAUAAGAGCCCUGAAGGAUGAGGAGAAGUAGUUUUUAAAUAACUGGAGGUGAAGAUAGGAGAAGCAGCCUUCAGGGGGAAAGGAACUUGGAUUUUUAAAAGAAUUG